AUGCAUGCGGCACUUGGUUGUGAACUUCAAGAAAAAAAUCAUGCUAAAGGUUUUGAUGACCAUUUGUGGCCAGUUGCUUAUUCAUGGACUCCUCGAAGUGUAGACUAUCACAUGGCAGCCAUAGAGGAUAAAAAAAGCUGCUGCAAUAGCAUACUUAAACAACUACCACAACAGGCUAGGGUCAAGGAGCAAAUAUUCAACCUCCUCAAAAGUGGAUUAUGUGACAAAUAA
Molecule: ribosomal RNA, 231 nt
Filed under: Triticum aestivum (bread wheat)
Lineage: Eukaryota; Viridiplantae; Streptophyta; Magnoliopsida; Poales; Poaceae
Description: partial small subunit ribosomal RNA
Source: RNAcentral